ACUAAGCGUACACGGUGGAUGCCCUGGCAGUCAGAGGCGAUGAAGGGCGUGCUAAUCUGCGAUAAGCGCCGGUAAGGUGAUAUGAACCGUUAUAACCGGCGAUACCCGAAUGGGGAAACCCAGUGUGACUCGUCACACUAUCAUUAACUGAAUCCAUAGGUUAAUGAGGCGAACCGGGGGAACUGAAACAUCUAAGUACCCCGAGGAAAAGAAAUCAACCGAGAUUCCCCCAGUAGCGGCGAGCGAACGGGGAGGAGCCCAGAGCCUGAAUCAGCAUGUGUGUUAGUGGAAGCGUCUGGAAAGGCGCGCGAUACAGGGUGACAGCCCCGUACACAAAAGCGCAUGUGCUGUGAGCUCGAUGAGUAGGGCGGGACACGUGGUAUCCUGUCUGAAUAUGGGGGGACCAUCCUCCAAGGCUAAAUACUCCUGACUGACCGAUAGUGAACCAGUACCGUGAGGGAAAGGCGAAAAGAACCCCGGCGAGGGGAGUGAAAAAGAACCUGAAACCGUGUACGUACAAGCAGUGGGAGCACAGGUUUACCUGUGUGACUGCGUACCUUUUGUAUAAUGGGUCAGCGACUUAUAUUCUGUAGCAAGGUUAACCGAAUAGGGGAGCCGGAGGGAAACCGAGUCUUAAUUGGGCGUUAAGUUGCAGGGUAUAGACCCGAAACCCGGUGAUCUAGCCAUGGGCAGGUUGAAGGUUGGGUAACACUAACUGGAGGACCGAACCGACUAAUGUUGAAAAAUUAGCGGAUGACCUGUGGCUGGGGGUGAAAGGCCAAUCAAACCGGGAGAUAGCUGGUUCUCCCCGAAAGCUAUUUAGGUAGCGCCUCGUGAAUUCAUCUCCGGGGGUAGAGCACUGUUUCGGCUAGGGGGCCAUCCCGGCUUACCAACCCGAUGCAAACUGCGAAUACCGGAGAAUGUUAUCACGGGAGACACACGGCGGGUGCUAACGUCCGUCGUGAAGAGGGAAACAACCCAGACCGCCAGCUAAGGUCCCAAAGUCAUGGUUAAGUGGGAAACGAUGUGGGAAGGCCCAGACAGCCAGGAUGUUGGCUUAGAAGCAGCCAUCAUUUAAAGAAAGCGUAAUAGCUCACUGGUCGAGUCGGCCUGCGCGGAAGAUGUAACGGGGCUAAACCAUGCACCGAAGCUGCGGCAGCGACACUGUGUGUUGUUGGGUAGGGGAGCGUUCUGUAAGCCUGUGAAGGUGUGUCGUGAGGCAUGCUGGAGGUAUCAGAAGUGCGAAUGCUGACAUAAGUAACGAUAAAGCGGGUGAAAAGCCCGCUCGCCGGAAGACCAAGGGUUCCUGUCCAACGUUAAUCGGGGCAGGGUGAGUCGACCCCUAAGGCGAGGCCGAAAGGCGUAGUCGAUGGGAAACGGGUUAAUAUUCCCGUACUUGGUGUUACUGCGAAGGGGGGACGGAGAAGGCUAUGUUGGCCGGGCGACGGUUGUCCCGGUUUAAGCGUGUAGGUGUGUGUUCCAGGUAAAUCCGGUUCACUUUAACACUGAGGCGUGACGACGAGGCACUACGGUGCUGAAGCAACAAAUGCCCUGCUUCCAGGAAAAGCCUCUAAGCAUCAGGUAACAUCAAAUCGUACCCCAAACCGACACAGGUGGUCAGGUAGAGAAUACCAAGGCGCUUGAGAGAACUCGGGUGAAGGAACUAGGCAAAAUGGUGCCGUAACUUCGGGAGAAGGCACGCUGACACGUAGGUGAAGUGAUUUACUCAUGGAGCUGAAGUCAGUCGAAGAUACCAGCUGGCUGCAACUGUUUAUUAAAAACACAGCACUGUGCAAACACGAAAGUGGACGUAUACGGUGUGACGCCUGCCCGGUGCCGGAAGGUUAAUUGAUGGGGUCAGCGCAAGCGAAGCUCCUGAUCGAAGCCCCGGUAAACGGCGGCCGUAACUAUAACGGUCCUAAGGUAGCGAAAUUCCUUGUCGGGUAAGUUCCGACCUGCACGAAUGGCGUAAUGAUGGCCAGGCUGUCUCCACCCGAGACUCAGUGAAAUUGAACUCGCUGUGAAGAUGCAGUGUACCCGCGGCAAGACGGAAAGACCCCGUGAACCUUUACUAUAGCUUGACACUGAACAUUGAGCCUUGAUGUGUAGGAUAGGUGGGAGGCUUUGAAGUGUGGACGCCAGUCUGCAUGGAGCCGACCUUGAAAUACCACCCUUUAAUGUUUGAUGUUCUAACGUGGACCCGUUACCCGGGUUGCGGACAGUGUCUGGUGGGUAGUUUGACUGGGGCGGUCUCCUCCUAAAGAGUAACGGAGGAGCACGAAGGUUGGCUAAUCCUGGUCGGACAUCAGGAGGUUAGUGCAAUGGCAUAAGCCAGCUUGACUGCGAGCGUGACGGCGCGAGCAGGUGCGAAAGCAGGUCAUAGUGAUCCGGUGGUUCUGAAUGGAAGGGCCAUCGCUCAACGGAUAAAAGGUACUCCGGGGAUAACAGGCUGAUACCGCCCAAGAGUUCAUAUCGACGGCGGUGUUUGGCACCUCGAUGUCGGCUCAUCACAUCCUGGGGCUGAAGUAGGUCCCAAGGGUAUGGCUGUUCGCCAUUUAAAGUGGUACGCGAGCUGGGUUUAGAACGUCGUGAGACAGUUCGGUCCCUAUCUGCCGUGGGCGCUGGAGAACUGAGGGGGGCUGCUCCUAGUACGAGAGGACCGGAGUGGACGCAUCACUGGUGUUCGGGUUGUCAUGCCAAUGGCACUGCCCGGUAGCUAAAUGCGGAAGAGAUAAGUGCUGAAAGCAUCUAAGCACGAAACUUGCCCCGAG
This 2771-nucleotide ribosomal RNA is filed under the name Salmonella enterica subsp. enterica serovar Enteritidis. RNAcentral's name for it is "partial 23S ribosomal RNA". It matches the Rfam family "Bacterial large subunit ribosomal RNA". Lineage: Bacteria; Pseudomonadati; Pseudomonadota; Gammaproteobacteria; Enterobacterales; Enterobacteriaceae. The record is from RNAcentral.